Molecule: long non-coding RNA, 706 nt
Organism: Capsicum annuum
Lineage: Eukaryota; Viridiplantae; Streptophyta; Magnoliopsida; Solanales; Solanaceae
Exons: 3
Source: RefSeq, a predicted model, not a curated record
GCGCGGCCGUAGCUCCGCCACAUCUCGGCGGUUGAAGAUGUAUAAUAAUAGGCCAAAACGUGAUCGUAAGGGCAAAAUAUUGAAGCAUGAAUAUCAAUCAAAGCAUCUUCAGUUAACAAGGAUACAGCCAGAUCCCCGCUGGUUCAUCAAUACUCAGGUGAUUAGUCAGGAGAAAUUGGAAUCCUUUACAGAAGAGAUCCAGGAUCGGCUUUCCAGCAACUACAGUGUUAUAUUGAACAAGAAGAAUUUGCCCAUGUCCCUUGUGAAUGAGCACCAAUAAGAUGUCCCUCCACGGUUCAUGAAGAGACAGACCAUCUAAUUCCAACAUUUUUUCCCAAGAGUCCGAGAUUUUUCAAGUAUUAUGAAAGCGAGAAGCCAAAAUAAGAUUAGACAACUCAGUUUUUUAGUUAAUUUUAGUAACCUGGUAGUUAAGUUCUGAACAGUGCUGCUAGAAUAGCGAUUAGUCACCGUUGCUGCUGACUCCAGUGCUGCUAGAUUAGCGACUAGUCACCGUUGCUGCUGACUCAAGUGCUGCUAGAAUAGCGAUUAGUCACCGUUGCUGCUGACUCUGGACUUAGAGGAAACAACUCCGCGAUGAGUUGGUUCUUUUCAUUCGUUUUUUGAUUGACAUUUACUUUCCAGAAGUUCUUUUGGCGUUUGAUAUGACAGAAUCUUCUGAUAAAAAAUGAUGGCAGGAUCAGGCUCA